Molecule: ribosomal RNA, 390 nt
Filed under: uncultured bacterium
Lineage: Bacteria
Description: bacterial SSU rRNA
Rfam family: Bacterial small subunit ribosomal RNA
Source: RNAcentral
GACGAACGCUGGCGGCGUGCUUAACACAUGCAAGUCGAACGUGAAGCUGGAGCUUGCUCCGGUGGAAAGUGGCGAACGGGUGCGUAACACGUGAGCAACCUGCCCCGAAGACUGGGAUAACACCGGGAAACCGGUGCUAAUACCGGAUACCUUCUUCCGAUCGCAUGGUUGGAUGAAGAAAUGGAUUCCGCUUCGGGAUGGGCUCGCGGCCUAUCAGCUUGUUGGGAGGUAACGGCCCACCAAGGCGACGACGGGUAGCUGGUCUGAGAGGACGACCAGCCACACUGGGACUGAGACACGGCCCAGACUCCUACGGGAGGCAGCAGUGGGAAUCUUGCUCAAUGGGCGAAAGCCUGAAGCAGCGACGCCGCGUGCGGGAUGAAGGCCCUC